ACCCGGGCAGGGACCCGGGCACGGACCUGUGCGGGGACCUGUGCGGGGACCUGGGCACGGACCUGGGCACGGACCUGGGCACGGACCUGUGCCGGCCCCUCUCCUCGGGCGCUGCCCCGAUCCCAGCAAAAGCGCCCCCAAACGCCAGCACCCACGGCGCCCGCUCUGCCCUCUCCCUCCCGAGGAACCGAGCACCGGGCCCCGGAGGAUGUUUCAAAGACAAGUGUUCGUGAAGAGCAAGGUCAGUCCUGGGACUGAGAACUUUACUCGGCUGAGACGGCGGAUUUAAUUCCAGCAGUCAGCCCCGCGGCCGGGACAGAGGGAUAACCGGGGAUGUACCACCGUAAAACAACCCCGAGGCUUCCCUGGAAGAUCCUGACAGUUUCGGGAAGGCUCUGUUGCUUUCCAGUCUUUUCCAGGUAAACUCCGAUGUAGUCUCAAUUAUUUCCUGGAUGUAUAUGUUUAUUAUUUAAAACUAAUUCCAGCAAAGUAGCCCCUGAUAGUAGAAUGUUUACAAUGUAUAACGUUGAUUAGUUUUCCACAGGGAGCUGUCGUCUGGAUCCAAAUUUUUUUCCUCCUCAUUUUUACCACUGUUUCCAAAUAAUCCCGCGUCCUUCCAGUGGAAAAGCCAGGGGAGCGUCUUCUAAAAUGUUAUUUAACACGAAAUAACGACGCGUUUGAACAUCCACAAAGUAGUGAUUUCGUGCCUGCCCUCAGUCUAUUACCUCAAAUAACAUCCCACGCUGUGUUCAGGGCAGGCGCUUGCUCUCCCGGCUCUUCCUGUGUCCUAUUAAUAGGACAAACCCGCCCGCGCAUGACCCUUCCUACAAGAAUUCGGCCACAGUUUGCUUCGACUUAUAUCUGGCUGCAAAACGGGUCCUGUAAUUAAAAAAAUACCAAUACAUUUUACCCUUUGAAAGCACUUCGAUGGGGAGCUUGGGGUGCAAGAGUCGCACGCGUGUGCGCCUACAAACCGGAGUAGGUGCGGAGCCUCGCCCGCAUCCUGACAACAGAAAUCUGCUGGCUUUCAGUAAAUAGAGCGUGUUUAGUUUGGUAUUUUCUUUUUUUCUCAGGAAACGCGUCUUGGUUGGUAUGCAAAAAGGAGAGCAGCCGUCAGGGACUUGCCGCUUAUUUCCCCAAACUUUCUCAAGCGUUGGCAGGGCGGGAGGUGAAAGCACUUGAAUAAAAAGCCUUUUUUUUUUUUUUUUUUUUUUAAAGAAAAAAAACCACGCAAACACUCAAAACCAAACAAAUAUGUAUUUUUUUUUAAGCCUCAUUAAGAAAAAAAAAAUUAAUAAGACACACCUAUGUUUUGUUCCUAGGUAAAUUUAUCCACCACUGAGGGAGGACCCCAGCGGCUCCUGCCCCCGUGGAAAGGGUGCCGAGAGGAAGAGCUGCAGCCCCAGGCCGGCUGAAAACCCGGGGUUCAAACCAGAGUAUGUUUGCUCAGCAGGUACCCGAAGGUUUGCUCUCCCUGAGACCCUGAGGUUUGCUCUCCCGUUUUGCUCUGUCGGCCCCUUUGCGUUUAUAGGUGAGCUUUGUGUGUUUGUUCCUCAAAAGUAGCUAUUCUUGCUGUUAAUGAUUGUAAACAUGUAAAAAAGGACGUCAGAAAAAGUGAAUUCGCAGCCUGCUAGCAGAGAGCACCCCUCGCUCUCCCGGCAGCUGAAAUAAGGGUGUAGAUUGGGGUUAGGGAGCAUCCUCCAAUUUUAAGGGAGAAGUGCUUGAAGUCAAGGAUGCCUCUUUUUUUUUUUUUUUUUUUUUUCCCGGCUUUUCCCUUCUAGUAUUAAAGUCGUGCAGGAAGAAGACGUUUCUCCUCCUCCAGACGGGAGGGAAACAGGCGUGCACGGGUUUUUUAAUUUAUUUUUGGGUUUUUUAAAGAUGUUUGUCACGCUGCUACCAUUAUUCCAAGGAUCCUGUGAGGUUUUCAUUCACUGCCCGGUUUUCAGGGCUCCUUUCUUCAUAUUGCAGCCAAUCCAAAUUGAGACUUCGGAGUGGAAAUAAAAGGGGGAAAAUCAAGACAAAAUAAUGAUAAUAAAAAUAUGAAGCAACCUCCCCACUUCCCUCUCUAUCACCCCCAAACCAAGUUGCCCCCCCGAGCAAAAUUCUCCUUGAGGAGGGAAGUUACUCCUCGUCCUGUCGGCACGUUUGAGUCAUUUUAUUUGCCUGAACUUUGGAACAAAGCUGGUUUCCAGAGGAAAUUUCCACUCCUGCUGCCGCCUCGCACCAGAGGGCGCCGGGAGCCUUCCCAGGUUUUGCUGCCUCAAGCGCUGCUGGAAAUUAACUCUUUGGGCGCUCUCUCUGAAGGCUUUUCCAACAUUUUCCUUUGAAAAUAUACAGCUAGAUUCUAACUUUCCCCCCCCCACCACCCUGUAAAAUGCGUGUUGGUUUGUUUCGGUUUGGGUUUGUGAGGGUUUUUUCCCCGCUCUUGUGUUACCCUUUCCCAGCACUUCCAGGGCUUGACACUCCCCCCACAGCCCCCAGCACUCUGAGGAGAUUUGCAGCUCCUCUCGCUCUCUCUUAACUUGGUUCUAAUUAAGUCACUGCAUCACGUUUGCGUGCCAUUGCCGUGUUUUCCCUCGUAACUGUCAGGGAUAAAAGUUUGUCUGGCUGUGUUUAAGCUCAAAGGGUCACUGAGGGCUCUUCAGGCAGGACCCCAGCGAAGCACAGCGCCAGGGAAAAGCGGUGAGUGAGCCAGCCCAGAGCACCUAUCUCCCUGUGCCACCUGUGCUGUUCAGCUCUGGGCCUGAAGGGUGCGAGGCCAAACCCUAAUGUGGGCAUAGAUUAAUGUGUGCUACAGGGUCAGAGCUUCUUUACACUGAGACCUAAGGGAACCCACGGGUUUUCCCACGGACAGGAGUGUGUUGGGAGGACAUCAGAUUUGUGUCUGCCAUGUUUCUGUCCCCAAUGGCUGUAUCUGAUUUGGUUCUUACCCACUCACCUUCUGGCCUGACAGGAUCAUCAAAGUCCAUCUCCUGGUCCUGCACAGACACCCCAACAAUCCCACCCUGUCCCUGGGAACGUUGUCCAAACCCUCCUGGAGCUCUGGCAGCCUUGGUGCUGUGCCCACUGCCCUGGGGAGCCUGGGCAGUGCCAACCACCCUCUGGGGGAAGGACCUUUCCCUGAGAUCCAACCUGACACAGCUCCGAGUUUGCUACAACUCAAAGAAUACUUCAAGAAUAAGUAACCCAAAGAGCAAAUACUGCAGGAAAUUAUAGAAGACUUUACCUAUAACUGGGGAUUAUAAACCUUCAGCUUCAGCAAAAGCAUUUCUUGUGUUUAUCUGUGUAUGCAAAUGCUGUGGCUCACCCUCUGAGACUCAGUUUUAGUGGCAAUGCAGGUUGAUUAUUCAUAGAAAAAACCCAGGCAAUCUGUGGGUGAAUAUUUAUUAUUACUUUAUUUAUUUACUAUAGCAGUCUGUUUUCAAACAGCGUAGAAGGACUAUUUUCCAGAACAGACAGUGACAGGACAAGGGGGAAUGGAUUCACACUGAGAGAGAGCAGGGUUAGACUGGAUAUUAGGAAGCAGUUCUUCCCUGUGAGGGUGGGGAGGCCCUGGCACAGGCUGUCCAGAGAAGCUGUGGCUGCCCCAGCCCUGGAAGUGCCCAAGGCCAGGUUGGACGGGGCUUGGAGCAACCUGGGCUGGUGGAAGGUGUCCCUGCCCAUGGCAGGGGGUGGCACUGGAUGAUCCGUAAGGACCCUUCCAACCCAAACCAGUCUGGGAUUCUGGGAUUCUCUAAUUCUGCUGAGCAGUUGGUUCCUCGGGUGCUCAGUCCUGGUGAAUGUUUGGGAACCAGUUUAGCUGCUUGUCCUACACGUCUGCCUCACUCAGUGACAUGUGCUCAGCUGAAAACUACAAUGCAGGUGUGUCAGAAACGACUCACUGCUGACUCAUUAAAAAAGAAAAAACAAUGCAGGCCUGAGCACUGAUACCAGGUGAGUCCUGUCCCAGUGCAAUAUGUACUACCACCUUAACUAGUGCUCGGACAGUUUUUGAAAUACAACUUUCAGGAAGCACAUGAACAUCUUUUCUUCAUCAUUUGUGCGACGUUUAACCAUACCAAAACUAGAUCAAGAACUUAUCAAUGUGGGCCUAGAUAUAUGCAUAGUGUGUAGUUUCCAACAGAUCUUAUAACUCUAAAUAAAUGAAUAAAAAGGAAGAUAAAUAAUAAGAAAGAGAAGAAGGAAGAAUAAACUAAAUAUUAGGAUGCAUCAUUUCCAUGUUUCCUGUAAACCUUUAUGCUAUUCACAUAUCACUUAAGGAUCAACAGAAAUGCAAAAUGCAUGAUCUGAAGAUGCAUUAAGAAAUCUGAGGGAAAAAACCAUAAAAACCAACAAAGAAAAACAUUUUAAUCCUGGGGGCUGGUGGAAAAACUCAGUUGAAGAGAAAUAGUGUUUGUCCUUGUGUUAUUUAAAUGGAAAUACAGAUUUUAAAAUUUUUUGUGACUGUUUCUUCAUUUAUGUCAGUAAUUUAGCAUCUGUCAACCAAAAAAAAGGAAAAUGCAUCAAAGGCUGCUGAGUUUACCCAAACACAAAUCCCUCUACAGAACGUGAUUUCAUCACUUACUAGGUCAUGUUGAGUUUUAUCUGUCAAGUGUGUGUGUAAGGUGAGAAUUCUAGUCUCAGAGCAAAUAGGGCAGUGUGCUGGAUAUUGUGAGCAGUGUGUUAAAGGGCAGCAGCAGCUUGCCCAGCCCAGCCCUGGCAGUGCCUGGUUAUCCCGGUGCCCAGCGUGCUGUGCCUGGGCAGCUCUGAUGUUCAGAGCCCACUCUGCCACCUGCACAGGGGGUCUCAAUGGACCUUCAUGUCUGGCCAUGGCACUGACUCACACCUGAUAACUUCAUUGAGUUUCUUUUUGGAGGAGGAGUGGGGGGCCUUUGGAGAGACUUCUCGACUCUUGGAACAACACAGGGGAAAAAAAUCGUGUUAAAAGGCAUCUUGGCCCUUCUGCCAUUUUCAUAGAAGCUGAUGGUAAAACCCUCUUUCACUUUACUGGGAACAGGACUGAGCCACUUAAAAUGCUAUUUUGUAAUAUAAAUCUUUUAAGUCUUAAAUAUUUCCAUACAGUGCAGCAAAGAAGUCUCAAACGUCAUCAGAAAGACUGCUUCUUGUUAGGCUGUUACAAUGUGCUAUUUCUGUUCAAAUAACUUUUACUAAUAUGAAAGACAAAUACAUUUGUACAGUUUGGGAGCCUGACACUGCAGUUGGGUGUUUGCAGCUUUUAUACAUUAGCCUAUUUAGGACAAUAACUUUAACUCUUCAGUUGCAUGAAACAAAGCCCAGAUGUUUCUCAGCAGCGUUUCCUCCUCAGGUCUUUUAGCUGAGCCUUUCUGGAGUGGAGUGUAGAGUUUGGUUACAGUUAAGCUCGAGUCAUAUAUUCCAAGAGUAUGAAGGGGUGAUGUAGUGAGGCACGAGUAGGAAGGGGGAAGAGGGACACUGAAGGAGGAAACAAUCUUCUUCUCCAGCUAAGCUAAGUCCCCACCCGUGGGACCAUGGAGAACUCUUAAGUUCUCAUCUUUGGAUCUUCUCCCUCCUUGGCAGUGACUUUAAAAAGGAUUAAGUGAGAGAACAGCAGCAGAAAAAGCCCCCAAAAUACCAUGCUCUGGGAAGGUCAGGGAGGUUGCCUUCUCCAGAUGUACGGGGGCUCCAGGGUUCAAAUUUGAAUCUCUCUGUGCUGAGUUGCUGUGAUGUCCUGCCCAGCAUCCUAUCUUCCCACCCAGGAAUAUAUGGAGGGCAACACAAUUUUCGUGGAUUAAUUAUUUGUUUUCCCUGGAGUUAGCCUGGCUGAGCAGCAUUUAUGGAGUCAUACAGGUCUCACCAGUGAUCUCCCAACAGAGGGGUAUUGUCCAAGUGACAGCCUACCUGAGCUUGUGCCAAAUGCCACUACAAGUCUCUCUUUUCUUUGUUUCUGGGUGUGUUGUGUCCAGUGGCAGUGUCCUAUGAUAGCUUUUCCCGGGAGGAACUGCCUUUAUAGCUGGUGUCUUUAUAGCACCUUGUGCAGUGGCCAAGGCUUACAAAUACUCCAGAGGAGUAAAAUGUAAAAACUGUGGUAGAACAGCCUCCUGUUUUGAUGAAAAGUUGCUAGCAGUUAUGACAUAAUGAACUUAACCAACAAGGCAAUAAAAAUUAAGUACCCUGUUUGUGAGUGAUGCAUAUCCCAUAUUAAGGCUAAAUUUCCUGUAAGUUAUACAUUGAAACAUUUUCCAUUAUGAUGUUCAUAAAAUUUUGUAUUCAACAACAUUGCUUCCUUUCUUAGGUUUUUGGAAUCCAACCAGAGGACUGCAGGUGAGAGAGAAGCAGGGAUACCCAUCACCAGAAGGUUGUGUUCCAGCAGUGGGAAGGCUUUGGGAAGCUGCUAAAAGCAUUCUACACUGCAUUUUUCCCUGACCAGACUUCACGUGAGUGAUCAAAUGACAGGCCAUCAUUUUUUGUAUUUCCGAGGAAGUAAUAUUUUUGCUACUUGUAAGUGACUAUUUGUAAUUCUUGCUAUUAUAGUAAGCACCUAUCCAAUCAAUCUUGAUUUUUAAAUCUCUUUUAGUCUCUUGAACAAAUACGUUUACAAGAAAAAUCAGGUUUGUUUAGAAUCAUGGAAUGAUUUAGACUGGAAGGGACUUUGAAGGUCAUCUGGUCCAACCUCCUACUCAAAGCAGACCUAACCUACUAAGAUGGGUUGGUUUUCUAUUAAAUUUUUUUUUUUAUUUCAAUAGCAGUAUUUUAUGGCAAUAGUUCUUGCUGAAGAGCUUGUUCUAAACCACUUUCCAUUUACUAAUUUCCCCUGUUAACUUUUGCUAUAAAUAUUCCCUGUAGUUACCUUUGGAAUCAACAAUCCCUGUUCACAAUUUAUUCUCUUGCCUCUUGCAUUGACAAUGGCAAAGAAUAGAGACUAACCUGAAUAUGCAGAGUAAAAUACAGUUUGGAAAAUGGGGUUUAUUAUCCCAUAUUCUGAAGAAUGACCAUACCUCAGUCCAGGAUUAUUGCUUUGAAGCUAAAGGAAAUUAAACCAUUCUUCUACCUUUAGGCCCAAAAGAAAAUGACUUCAUUUCCAUGUAUUUCUAGAGAUGAUGAGCUGCUGAUCUAUGAUUCUUCUCAACUUAUAGGACAGCUGAACAAAAUGUAAAAACCAAAGGCCUGGCUUUGCUCUCAGCUGUUCUGGUAUAAUCCAAGCUCAGCUUCUCUGGUGUUAAUGAAUUUAUUCCAGUUUUACUGUGCUGUGAUCAAACCAGAAUAUAUUGUAUAGUUUGCGUGAAAGAAUUGGGCCAUUUUCUUCUGUUUUCAGAUGAUGAGCUGUCUGUUAGUUGGUCUGUAGCCUCCCUUUCUCACCCUUUCCCUAUUCUAUAAUUUAAAAAAAAUGUGUAUUUGCAAAAGAACAGCGACAAACUCUACCUGAAAAACUGUGUUUCACAGUCUUGCAAACUCUUGUCUUUUAAAGAGAAGCCCCCUGCAGACCAUGAAACCUGGGGAGGAUCCUGUGGAGGAUUUGGCCAUGUUUAGAAAGCAUCCAGAGUAGCUAUGACAACUUCAUGUCCGGGGGCCAAGAUCGUGUCCACAUACCAAAUCUCUGACACUAUGCAAGAUCCUUAUCCAACCUAAAGAGGAAACUGUAAAAUUAGAAUUGCCUAAAAUAACCCCCAGAGAGACUAGUGCCGGUUCUUGAGAAGAGCUGGGGUUUUUUUGACAUCUCAAAUACAGCUUUUUCUUAAAAUGUCUGAAACAGGAAACUUGUGAAAGAAAAGAAAAUAAUUAAAUGAGUAAGGUAUCCACAACCCUGGAAAAACAGGUUCCCAGCUAGGUCCUUUUUUUGUUAUUUGCUGUGAUUUCUUUAACCUUCUUUGAUCAGUGAAAUGGACUUGGAGUGUUAUAGAAGCCUCUGAAAUAUAUCAGUAUAAUUUUCUUGGGUUUAUAUUUGAAAUGGGAGGGGUAUCCAAUGUGGGUUCCAGCUCCUCUGACCUGGAUGAGCUGGGAUUAAUGCUGAGUGCAGCGAGGGAGGCUGAUCUCAGCACAGGGAGGUGAUCAGGGGCUGAUCCAUUACCUGGGCCAGGCAGUUCGGAUGCUGACUGUAUUUUUUUGGUAUUACAUGUGGAAGUGCAGCAUUCCAACUGAUAGAAAUCUGCUUGUCCAUGCAAUGAAUAUGUUGGCUACAGCACCUGUAGCCUGUGCUUUCUGGUAAAAGCUGAGCUCUGUGUUAAUUCUCUUAGCUAUUGAUUGGUAAUAUUGUUUCUGCUUCCUGUCUCUGCAGUGAGGUUUUUACAUCCUGCCUGUAGUUGAUCCCUUCCUGUUUCUCUGGGUAUGGCAAGGUUCUGUAAAGCAGGUUUUUAUAAAGGAAGAGAGACCUGCAAAAUGCAUUACUAAAGGUACUGAUUUAAAAAACCAGGUGCACAAAUGAUGUUUGGGUUUAAGUAGCCAGGAUGAGGUUUUGAACAUUGGCUCAGGCAGAACCAAACUCAAACAUUUUAAUAAUGGCAUGUUAACAUAACUGCCUUAUGCAAAAUAUUUCUGGCUGCUUUUUAUGAAAGUAAACAGAAAGAGUGAUAUAUCUGGAUAAAGAGGAGCAGAUGGUAAUUUUCAUUAUUCCUCCCUUCCCCUCUCCUUUUACUUGCAUCCCAGUGAGGGAGAACUAAAAGACAAAAUCUCCUCUUUAGUGAAUUUGGAACAGAAACUCCAAAAUAGAUAUCCCAACUUAUGCCUUAACGUUUGCCCUGUGGGGUCAUACUCUUGAACACUCUUCCUCCACUGGAUUAGUAAGACCAAAGGAUUUUUGUCACUGAAAAAAAAAUGUUCACAUUUUACACGAGUUAAGGACUGCUUUGAUUUGUGAGAACUCAUUUUCAGUGUCUAAGUUCUUAUCCAGGAAGAACUCUCCACUGUGAGAAUGGUUAUCUGCAGGUCAGUUUUAACUUGGCAUCCUCCACGUUUGGCAGCAGAUUUUAGCUUUACGUAACACUGAGUUAUUAUUAAUGCACCAUAUUGCAGAUUUUAUGAAGGAAUCAAGUUUUCAAGUGUUGGGGUUUUUUUUCAAGUCAGGAAAUGCUACAGAUAGGCUUUUCACAGGCAUGUCACUUUAUGCUCUACGUGUCCCGUGCAUUUCAUUAUAUUUCCCUUAAAAUAACAAUCCUUAGGUUAGUGCACAUAUUUAGUAAUCAAAGCCAUGUAUUAUACUGCCUGAAUACAAAAGGUUUCACUCCAUGUUUCAAGAUCUUUUUCAUUCUCCACAUUUAUAACAUGACCUGUGUUAAUAUUGCAUUGGCACUGGUGGGUUUUUUUUUUAUUUGACACAAGUCUAAGGAUGUCUGAGUGGUCCUGGUUCAAGGUGUCUGUCACAUGAGGCACAGCAUUUCUGUCAGUAAAGAUUGCUUUGUUUUUAAAUUCAAGUGAAUCAGAAAAAAUACCUGUAAAAGGCUAAAAAGUAUUUAAGGGUGGUGGAGGAUGCACUUGGGGCCAGCAGUUCAUACAGUGGUGGGUAAAGUGGUGUGAGCCUGGCAUGUGUAUAGGGAUGGCACUUAGCAAUUGCUUAUUCUGUUUGCCUUUUUUGUUGACUGAUGUUUUUAUCUGGCUCUCUGGAGUGAGGUAUGCUGGAUGUACUGUGGCUUUCCAAAAGGAAAUACUGAAGUAACCCACACGGAGCCAUAAGGAAAAUAAACUGUCAUUUCUAACACACGGCACAUGAAGAAAAGCCCUUUCACAUCACUUUGUUUCCUGCUCAAAGCUGUUUCUCAAACUGUGUAAGAUCUCCAGCUCACAUUAUUGUUCUGAGGGGCUUCAUACAAGAAGGGCUUUUUUUGUCUAGCAAGGCUAAUGAGGUCCUAUAGCAAAAAGACACACAAUAUCAGUAAGGAAACAGCUAAUCUGACAUUAAUGUUCAAUGUGUUCACUCAUUUCCAAAUGCAUAUUAAUUUGGUGUAACUUUUCUGCCUUUGUACUAGAAUAGAAAGUAGGACAUCUGUGAGUACAGUAAUUAAACAAGUUAACUAAACCCCAUUUGAACAAAAGGCUUGGCAUGGCCAUGUUCCCACAGGUGCUCUUUCUGUGCUUUCCAAAGCUGGGUGGGUUCUGCUCUGUGUGCAUCACCAUCCCCUGUCCCUCACACACCAGCCUUGCUAGUGCAGCAGUCGAGCACUGCUGUCACAGGAAAAGCCAUCGUGCAUUUCUGGUGUUCCUGGGAUCCACCAGCAUUGCCAGUCUCCCCAUCUCCUUUGUGGAGGACACAAAUUAAGGGGUUUUGUAGCUGGAGUUGAGGGAUGAGACAUCCUAUCGCUACAUGCAGAGGUAACAGAGCUUUUUAGGUCAGAGAUGUCGCAGAUGUUUCUUUUAGGCCCACAUUAGAAACUUUUGCUCAUACACUGAUGUCAGCCUGGGUCUGAAAAAAACAUAAAUCCCACCUGGCCACUGGAGCUGAGCCAGCACAGUUCCUGGCGUGGACACAGCUGUGCUGCCAGGAAAUGGCUGCUGCCAGAUUAACCUGUUGGGUUCAGAGCCUGGUGCAACUCCAGUGGCACAAAAUCCCCUCUGGCAGUGCCCUUCCCUGCUGCAGAGCUGUGUGACACUCACAGGGACUGGGACUGCAGACAGAGGCUCCUCAGGGCAGCAGUUGAGAUGGGCCUGGUGUGAGAACAAAGGGGAGACAAAGACACUGAGAACGUGUCUGAGAACACAGCAAGAGUCAUUGGCAGGUCUGGUAGGAGGUGUCCCUUUUGACUGCAGGAGCCCCUUCGAAAACUUCCCACUCCAUAAAUCCAUUUUUUUCGCCCCUGGAAGCCACAUUUCCUAUGUAUGCCACUGGCUGCAGGAACAUCUGCUGGUGGGACUAGGUUUGUUUUGCUUAGAAACACCCAGCAUUUAUUGCCCUUCAGCUAAAUGCUGAAGGGUCUGUCCCAGGAGGACUGCUCUGGAUAGCAGAGAGGAACUGGGUCUUCAGCCAGACCCUAGUGGGACAGUAAAUGCCUCUGGUUCUCAGCAGAUCCUCCAGCAAGAACUCUCUCUGCCUGCUUCACAGUCCCAGCAAAAGGACUGCACAAACCCAUGACCCAGCAGUAUAUCAGGUUCAAAGUAUUUCUUCUGUCGUCACGUGCAUCUGCCUUAGGUUAUCAGCAAACCACAGAGAGUUACACCAGCGAGGAAAUAUUCAAAGGUCAGCCCAGGAUCACUCUGAGUGACAGGGGGUGAUGGGGUUUUUAUUAGGCUUUCUGUCUCUGGUACCUGUUGAUGUAGGAAUGGCUGAGUUCCUGGGAGCCAGCAGCUCCAGGACCCUUUAGUCUAUGGGGACUUGUUUUAUUACCCUUUCUUCCUGAGAUGAACAUGAGAAACUUCGAUGGGUUGCAGCAGUGGCAGAGAAACAUGACUGUGAUGCUCUUUGACCAAAAUCAAUUGUCCAAAGCACUUCAGCAUGGAAAAAAUGUCACUGGACAACGAAAACAACAGGAGUUAGUGGAGUGAAGCUGCUGGAGAGGUGAUUGUUCACUGUUUUCUGCAGUAUGAGAAGUAGAGGGCAUCAAGUAGAGUUUAAAUUACUCAAUACUUAAAAGAAUCUCUGGUUCCUGAGAUAAAUGGUUGUUUCAAUGAAAGUAUUAGAAUUAUUUUUGGUCGAAUAUCAGGAACUAGUCAUCAAAGAGAUUUGAUAAUGUAGCUAUUUGAAAUCCAUAUCUUAUAAGUGUGAAGUUCUGGCAUGACUGGAAUGAAAGUAUAGGUGAGUCAAGCACAGUAAUUCUGACCCAACUGUAGGCUACAGAAAGUUUGCAGUUUUCUAUUCCAGCCAAAGACAAAAAAAUGUAAUAAUCCAAGUAUCAGAACUUCUAAACUAAUUUUCUGAAAAAUCAGGUGCUUCAGAACAAUAUCCAAGUCUCAAGAUACAGCAGUGGAACAGAACAUUCAGUGGCUGUGUUUGCUGGGCAGAGCCUGGCAGGGCAGCAGGCACGCCUGUCCUGGGAGCAGUGCUUGGGAAGGGGCAGGGCACAACCCCUCAUUCCCACCGUGGGCACAGCCCAGCACCAGCCUGGGGACAAUGGCAGUGCUCCUGUGAGCUCGGAGGUGCAGGAACCAACCACAGCACAACGGGAAACAGAUUUUGUUCCAAGCUAGAAAAGCCUUUGCCCCCAAGUAUUUUUAACCCACGUAUUUCAGAGCAUGUCAGACAAUUGAUCAGCAAUCUGUUGCUGAAGUGAUGUAUUUAUCUGAUGCGUGGUUUCACUUAGCAGCUACAACACGUACGGCAGAGAACUGAAAAAAAUGAACUGGAACCCUAUGCAACAACUCUUAUUCAAAACAGAUGUAUUACUUGGUAUAUGUUUAACAUUCUCCUCAUAAUCCCAACUUGAUCCUUAACCAUCAUGCAUUAGAGUGUUGCUUUUAAAGAAGAUGAAAAUGGGCUGCUAAAAUGCUGCCCAUAUAAUCUGAAUUAUUUUCAGCCCUGUUGUUAAAGCUUAGAGAUAAAAUUCUCUUUUGAACUAAGGUUGAAGGCAUCGUGUUUGAUAUAUUGGUAUAAUUCCUGCAAUAUAAAUACUCAUAAAUUAAGUUAGUGGUAUGGUAUGAUUUCCUGUAAUCUGUUUCCAGAAUCAAUAUUUUAUUGAAUGAACUUCUUAUUUUAACUUCUCACUUACUGACCCAGUGGUGCAGCUGUAACGUGUGCUUGAUCACUCACUCUUUUAAAAUCAGAUCUGACUCUGCAGCAGUGUAGAUGGGGCACGGUUUUGGAAGAAUCUCACUUAAUAUUGUGUGCAUAGAGAUUGAAAAUAGCACUAUCACACCCUAAUGUAGAUUCUCCCAUCUUAACAUCCUGUAGUACUUUAGAAAACGGCCAUGUAAUAUAAUCCCCAUUUUAUGGGCAGGAAAACUGAAGCCAUGAUUAUUUCCUUCUUAAAGGAUGCUUAACUUUAAGCACCUCCCUAUAACAUCUACUUUUGUAAAUGUGGGUUUUAUUUUUAAGAAUCCCUUAUGCGUAGCAAUUAUCAUUCAGCUAAUUACCCAAGAUUUAUUGCAAGCCUCUGCCAGUGAGUGUGUGACCUCGUGCAGAGCAAAAGGCUGUUUGUUCCGAGCAGGUGGAACUGUCUCACCCAUUGCGCCGUGCCGGGGGUGUUGACAAAGGCAGCAGCAGAUGAGGAUGCUCUGCAGUACUUUGGGGGCUGGGGUGGUCCAUUGGCACUUCUCUGGGGCAGUGCACAGUUCCUGUGCUGUGUCCUUCUCGGGAACACAAAAACUGCCAGCAAUCACCAUCAGUCCCUGCAGGUCUCCUGGGAGCCUCGGGUUCCUGCAGCAGAACCUGGUGCUGCAUCUCUAAGCUGCACAGCCAAGAAUGGGAUGAUUUCCCUCUCCUCAAACAGUUCCUCCCUCCCUCUUUUCUUUGCCCUUGCUUGUUCUGCGUCUGUGCUUUACAGGCUACACCACAUUUAAACACACAGUGAUCCCACUGUGGGUUUUGGGGGUGGAGGAGGGAAUGUAGGAGUACUAGCAGAAAAAUUGCUCUUUUUGUGGUGACCAGAGCAACUGUAUUAGACAAAACUGCUUUUUUUUAUCAGUGUUUAAAAAGUGUUUUCUGAUGUGGUAAAAACUGUUAUAUGGAUGGAGUUCAAGAAGGUGGAGGGCAUGUGAAAGUUUAUUUUAUAAAGGGAAAACUGGAUUGUUUUGUAGUAGGGGUUCUGUACCUAAAAUGUCUCUACAGAUUGAAUUUCCAAAGUGUUCUCAGACACUUUGUUUCAGAUGGGCAAAUGGAGAAUGAACAAUAAGGUUUGUUGAUGCCUUCGUAGAUGCAGUCUGAAUGCUCUGAUUUACACAAUGUGGUCUUAGGUUGAUGAUGCCACCAUAAGACUCCAAGACCUGACAAGUCUAAUCCUGAGAAAUCCCCUGCAGCCAGUGCAUACUGACUUCAUAGGAGCGAGAUAUGAACCUGCCAUCCAGCUUCAGCCUCCUCUGUAGAUCAGUCCAGGACAUCACUCUUGAUGCUUCCAAGGACUAUAACUCCACAAAGGCUGGUGUCAUUCUCCAGUGGAGUUUAAAAUGGAAUUUAGGAGAUCUGGUAUUCCCAGGGCAGCCAUGCAGUGCUGCAGCAGGAGGGAAACAGACCUCCAAAACAUGCCACUAUAAGAAAAGAGCAAGGAAAAGCCCAGUCCUGGAAAAUGCACUGGCACUACAAAAGAGUGUGGAAGUCUGGGGAAACAAUGAAUUGGAGCUGAAAAAUACUAUAUCAGUCCUGUAUGGUUUUAAUAAGUAGUUGGAAGGUCUUCCGUGAGGGGUUUCUGUUCAAUUUUAUCUCACUCAGGGAUAGAAGUUGUUCAUUUGGUCCCAUAAAGAGCUGAACUUCCUGAGCAGGCACAUUGGAAGUUCUCUUACAUUGGCAUAGGAAGCUAUUUCUUUUUUGUAAAACAUUUCACAUUUAUGUUCUCCCAGAAUUAAAGGCAUAGGGCCUGCUCCAGAGCCCUCUGCAGUCACUGAUACCCUCACACUGAUCUCUGGGAGCUUUAGGGCUCUCUUUUGGACCUCCUUUUUUUUCCCCCCCCAGUUAGCUACCAUUUAUAUAACAGAGUUAAAAAUUUGGGAACUCAAAGCACACAAAGAAUUUGCAGUUUGGGAUAGGAAGGGAAGGAUUCCACAUCCAACCAAACCAACCCCUGUCUUCCCUGCUACUUGCUGCUAAGCAUGAGGAGAGUUUUCCAGCUCUGGGUGGGACUGACAGCUCAUUGCUGGGUUCCUGCUGCUCCUGGGAAACCACCAUUCAUCCAGCCUGCAAUCUGCAGAAUAAAGGAACCAGAUAAUCAAUGACACUCUCCUCUGUCCAUAUUUAAACAUUUAUGGCAUAGAUGUUGACAGAUGAUCUCACCAUCUAAACUCCCUUUGUAGUUGACGGAAGGACAAAGACACUUCUGUCUCAUAUUUUUGCAAAUAAACAAAUGGAUAUACACAUAUACAAAUGUAAAGGCUCACAAAGGUUAAUUUAAAUGGUAUCCUGACAAAACUUGAAGAAGAGAAUGAGAAAUUCUUUCCUGACCUUUUUUUCUCUUGUGCUUUGCCAAUUCAAAGGGAAGUCAGUGUGCUUUGUGCAGACAGAAGUGUAAAUCUUUUGAAACUCCAGCAAAAAAUACAUACAGCAGAUAUAAAUACAAAUAAAAUUCAGGGUAGAUGACACCUUUCUGGAGUAGUUAUGACUGGAUAUUCUGUCUACAACUAGCUGUUACAUUAAGGCUGUGGGAACAUCUACAGUGACAAAGCUGACACUUCAUUUUGGCCGCUUUAAUGAGGUGUUCGGUGUCCUGCUCCUCUGCUGGGCUUUUGCAUCACCAACCCAAAAGCUGCACCAUCACUAAUGCAGAGAGAGUCUUUUUCUGUGUCGUGUCCAGUCAAUCAGCUUUCCUCCUGUGCUCCAUCCUGCAGUCUCCCUCUGAGGCAGAGCUGCAACCUGAGGGUCAUAGACCCCAGGGAGUUCUUCGUUUCCUGAGAAAAGAUGAAACCACUGCUACCUUUGAACAAAACCAUUUAUCUUAGUACAGAACCAGUGUCUUGUUCAUCCCCAAAAACUGAGCUGAAGAGAAGUCUCAGCCCUCCCUCAACACAUGCGAUUCUGUCCUUCAUGAAGGUUGCAAAAACAUCUGUCCUGACACAUCUGGGAUCACAAGGAGACUGAUUAAAAACCUGGAAGACAGACUGAGCUUUCCCAGUCUGAGCUUUCUGCCAUGGAAGCAGGCGCCAUAAGGCAAACCUGACUGAUCUUUUGCAAAAAAAACCCCAAAACAACCCCAAACCACAAAGAAUCCCCCAAAGAUGGAAAAGGUCUUUGUAGUCAGUUGCUGUUCCCUCGUUGUUCCUGAGCUGCUGGAGCCCUCUCAUGUCUCCUCGAGCUGCUGCAGAGAGGUCGGGAGGAGCCCUUGGACACUGGCAGAGGAGCUCUGUGCUCAGGAGAUGGUGCUGGCUGAUGGCAGCCCGGGCCAGCUCAGGAGAUUGUGCUGGCUGAUGGCAGCCCGGGCCAGCUCAGGAGAUUGUGCUGGCUGAUGGCAGCCCAGGGCAGUGCUCAGGAGAUUGUGCUGGCUGAUGGCAGCCCAGGGCAGUGCUCAGGAGAUUGUGCUGGCUGAUGGCAGCCUGGACCAGUGCUCAGGAGAUUGUGCUGGCUGAUGGCAGCCCGGGCCAGCUCAGGAGAUUGUGCUGGCUGAUGGCAGCCCGGGCCAGCUCAGGAGAUUGUGCUGGCUGAUGGCAGCCCGGGCCAGCUCAGGAGAUUGUGCUGGCUGAUGGCAGCCUGGACCAGUGCUCAGGAGAUUGUGCUGGCUGAUGGCAGCCCAGGGCAGUGCUCAGGAGAUUGUGCUGGCUGAUGGCAGCCCAGGGCAGUGCUCAGGAGAUUGUGCUGGCUGAUGGCAGCCCAGGGCAGUGCUCAGGAGAUUGUGCUGGCUGAUGGCAGCCUGGACCAGUGCUCAGGAGAUUGUGCUGGCUGAUGGCAGCCCGGGCCAGUGCAGGAGAUUGUGCUGGCUGAUGGCAGCCCAGGGCAGUGCUCAGGAGAUUGUGCUGGCUGAUGGCAGCCUGGGGCAGUGCUCAGGAGAUUGUGCUGGCUGAUGGCAGCCCGGGCCAGCCUGCAGGCCGUGGCACAUCUGCCCUGGGCUGGGCACUGGGCUGGGUGCUGGUGGUGCCCCUGCCUGCUGUGGCAGCAGAGGGUGAGCAGUGAGAGGGGAGCCGAGCAGAACACGCUGGCCUGUCCCUGCAGGACGCGGUGUCUCCAUGGGUGCAGCUGGGCUGCCCACCACGGUCCUGUGCUGGGCAGGGUGUGGGAGGGUCCCUGCACCCCACGGCUUCGCUGCACAGCUCCUGGGGGCACACCGAGUUGGGACUGAAAGCCAGGAAUUCCCUCUUCUUCCUCUUGUUGUGAUACAGAAAAGAUUUCACCAGUCCCGUCAAACAAGAAGAUCCAUUGGGGUAAUUAAAAAGUACUCAUUUAAUACAAACGUCUGGUGUUGCAGUAAACCGGCUGUUUUGUCCACAAAAACCUGACCAUGUUUUCAAUUAAGCCUCAUCCCCUUACUGAUGUUUUCAUAUUUGUGCUACAUUUACAUAAAGUUUCCUGACAAAAUAUGUCUUUCCUCUUGCAUGUUUAUGUGUUUCAUGGUUCAGCACAUCUGUGGAAUUGUUUAGCUAUCAACAAAACUAACGCAACACAAGAACUGAUCUCAUUGGAGCUUUCUCUCACCACUUGGACAUUAUGGUGCAACUAUUCCUUCAGGUGGGUUUCAGCUCCAGGCUGUUCCCUGCUCUGCCACUUCCCAGGGAGGAGCCCUCCCCUGCUGAAGAUAUUUGGGAUGUGGGUGUAUGACUGUGACCCGGCCAGCUGCAGGAGCCAGCCAGUGUGUGAGCAUGGGCUCAACCUGCAGAGCCCUGCAUUAGACACCUCCCUGUAGAGCUUCAUCUUUGCAGAGAUGCAGAAUCCCCUUCCCAGAGCCUGCAGGGCACUGCAGGGGGAUGGCUGGCUAAUGGUCAUGGAUCCUCAGUGGGACACAGGUGUCUCCUGUGCCUCUGAAACCCCCCCAGUCUGACUGGAGAGUCACUUCUCUCUAUCCCAGCAGCCACUUCUUCCAUCACAUUGUUUCACACUUUCUACCACUGUGGGAACAUCGUGUUCAUACAUGAGGGAGGAAUUUAACUCUCUGAAUGGACCUGGGUGUCAUCAGCUUAACAAUACUGUUCAGAUAAGGAAAUAAAUGCUACAUGAUGGUGCUUACCCUUGCUUGUGACAAAACAACAGCUGUUGUACAACCUUCCUUUGAAAAUUAUCUAUGGAGUAGCUUUCACUUUCAUAAAUGCACACAGGAGAAGUGGUUUGGUAGGAUUAGCAUUAGCCUUAAAAAAAUGAUAUAUUAUGCAACCGAUUCUUAGUUUUUAAAUCUUCACAGGUGGAGAAGACACACAUUGAUCAGGACAGAGUCACAUGUGAACGAACCAGCUGAACUGGGAAAAAACUUGCAGUGGCCAAUAUGUAACAGCUGAUGAAAAGUUUGGGAGCAUCCUGGGCUCAGGGGCCAGUUGGCCUGGAACAGCCCACAUUUACAUUAGUAAAUUCCUGGUUAAACAGGGUGUUUGCAUUCAGAGCCGUGGCCUCACCUACAGGCAUUAGCCAUGGCUUCACUGCUGGUGGCCUUUCGGGACCUCUGAGGUGCGUCUUACUCACAAAUCAUUGUUUAUUUUAAACUCUGUGACGGUUGAAGUGCAGCUUUGUGAGAAGAUAUGAAGUUCUUGGCAGCAAGUGUGCUGAAUUGCCUUUCUCUUUGAAAAGAGGGAGGCUGUUCACAGUGCUGUGUGGGAGGGGGAUGAAAGGCAUAGGACCUAAGCUGGAACAAUGUUCGUGCUGGGUUUCAAACGCAGUUUUUGUAGCAAAGGGCAGUGGAAGAGGCUGGACUGAGAGGCUGAGCAGCCUCCAUGCUCAGAGGCCUGGAACACCCAGCUGAGCAACCUGCUCUGCCCACACAAUUGUCCCUGCACUGAGCAGGAGGGUGGACUGAGGGCCCUUCCAACCUGAAUGGUUGUCUGUGGAGCAGGGUGUGACCCUCUGGGGCUCACUGAGGCUCCCCAGACUGUGCUCGGGUCAGGACAGUGUCACUGAGGGGACAGCUGUUCUGCAGCAUCAGCCCUGCAGAAUGCCCAGAAAUGGAGAGGAAAUAUGUGCAGAUUUAAAAUCUUAAAACCACAAGUAUAAUAAAUUCUCAUUUAAUGUCAGUGAGUUAAUGCUGAGAAGGUAAAACAGAACAUCAGAUGUUCUUAUUUUCCCCGAAGCCCAGCUAACUUCACAGACAGAGAUUAUCAUAGGAGCAGUUUCUGAAUAACCCAUUUCAACAGCAGGAUUUGUGGCUGGAUGUCAUUGUGGUAACAGCACUGCAGCUGCUCUUUCAACAGUUUGGCUCACACCUAUGCACUUCACCCAGCAGUUAAUAUACAUGCUUUGAGUGGUGUGGUGAUCAACACACACAGUUUCCUGGGUGGGCUGCAAAUCCCUAAGUAUGUAUUUUUUCAAGUCGUUGAAGUUUCUGAACAUUUUUGUGUGAUUGUUGUUCUUACUCUCUUUGUCACCUUACGAUGUCUCAACACAGAUUAUUUGUUAGAAAGCCAAGAGCCAGGUGGAGUUCCUGGGGAAAAGGAACAACUAAAAAUACUUCUGUUCUGUAUUCAUUCAGUGACAUUGUCUGAUACCGUAUUACACGAGAUUACUGAUCUAAUGGAGCCUGACAUCGUACAAGAACAUGAAGCAUGAGCCCAAACCUGCCCUAAGCUGUGACACCAGGCCUAGAAAGCACUGUGGAGUGAUAAUGUGCCAAUUGGACCUGUCCAUUUGUGUUAUUGCAGGCAAUGGAAGACAAGCCUUUCCAUCCUCCCCUCCAGAUUCACCCUCUGUAACAGUUAUGAAUGAGAGGCUGAAACUGUGAAUUACUCAGCCUGUUCAUCAAGAACAGCAGGGCCAAAUUCUUCCCCCUACCUGGCAUGAAGCUUUAUUUAUUAACUUGGUGGGAGCUUCUGGACUGCUCAGAGUAUCCCAGUCAGCCUGGUGUCAUCUGAAAAGAGCUGUCACUCUUCCCAUUCUGAGAGGGUACUGAUGAAAGGCAGCAAUGCUCCCCUGGAGGGGCUGUGUAGUUAUUAAGAAGUAGCCUAAAUGUGAAAAAUAAACAAGUAAUAACAAGUUUUAACCACCAACAGCACAGGCUAAAUAUGAAAGAUGAGGCAAAGGAAAUGUUGGUGUCUGGCUUUUCAGUCCUUCCUAUCAGGAUGAAAUUAAAUAUCUUUCUACUAAAAGAGAGCCUGACCAAAGACUGCUGAAAUCAGUGGAAAGACAUCCACUGCAGAGGGUUUCUAGAAAGGCCCACCAUUCUGAAGACAAUUGGCUCACACACAGCCAUUCCUUCCUGAUGGAUAUUUGCAGCUGGGGCUAAUAAUAGUAUUUAAUGUUCUUUCUAAUAAAUCUCUUGUCAUAUG
Pseudopipra pipra is the source of this 19911-nucleotide long non-coding RNA. RefSeq lists it as uncharacterized. Lineage: Eukaryota; Metazoa; Chordata; Aves; Passeriformes; Pipridae. The transcript has 4 exons. The record is from RefSeq and is a predicted model, not a curated record.